This 373-nucleotide ribosomal RNA is filed under the name uncultured eukaryote. RNAcentral describes it as "partial 18S ribosomal RNA". It matches the Rfam family "Eukaryotic small subunit ribosomal RNA", at positions 592 to 976 of the family's 1831-position model. The record is from RNAcentral.
CAAUAGCGUAUAUUAAAGUUGUUGCGGUUAAAAAGCUCGUAGUUGAAUUUUUGCUUGCCGCCGAUGUCGGAACUUCCGUACGUUCGGCGGCGUGCAUCCUUGGGUGGAACCUGUGUGGCAUUAGGUUGUCGUGCAGGGGAUGCUCAUCGUUUACUGUGAAAAAAUUAGAGUGUUCAAAGCAGGCUUACGCCGUUGAAUAUAUUAGCAUGGAAUAAUAAGAUAGGACCUUGGUACUAUUUUGUUGGUUUGCGCACCGAGGUAAUGAUUAACAGGGACAGUUGGGGGUAUUCGUAUUCCAUUGUCAGAGGUGAAAUUCUUGGAUUUCUGGAAGACGAACUACUGCGAAAGCAUUUACCAAGGAUGUUUUCAUUAA